GUAAGGCUGGCAAGAAAAGGGAAACUGUCACCUCCUGGCCUAUAGCUACCACUCUCAGUAGGAACUAAGUUCUCCUUUGCUUGGCUUAGAAAUGUUCUAACAUGAAGCUGCCAGGUGACUCACAUUCAAAUAAAUGCUCCAGGCACAUCUGGGUCUGUCACAGCCACAGAGUUGAGGGGCAGUUCUGUCUCACCUGCUCUCUGGAGACCUCUCCUGGUGCUGUGUCUGAGGCCUGGCAGAUGACUUCAGUCAGUCUGCCUGAGCCCCCUAUCUGGCUCUCCAGGCAGCCAGCUUCCUCCAUGCACUGUGCUUCAGUUGGCCUCUUAACCAGCACCCCUCCCCAUCUUACAGCCCUGUGGGGACAGAGAAAAUUGAAGGCUCUCGCCUUGCAUUACAGCCUCCAAGUAGAGGUGUGGUUUCCUGUCCCACUUGGACACACAGGAAGCGUUUGGAAGCAACAUUGUGUACUGGAAUGAGCACAGGCUCCUGAAUCAGCCCCGAGGUUGAAUCCUAGCUCCCCUACUACAUAGUUGGAUGCCUUCUCUGAGUUUCUGCUUCCUGGUUGGUGAGGUUCCUUCAGCCCGUGAGACCCAUCCAGGUCCUGGAACAUAGACAAUGCUCAGCAAAUGCUUCUGUCAGUGACUAAGUCCGAAGUCAAAGAUUCCCCGUUGCCAUCUCUGAGCAGAGAUUGGAUGAGUCCCUCCCUAAUAUGCACCAGAAUCUAGGUUACGCCUAGAUUUCUCUCUAUGUGUCUGGCUAAGUUCCUCAAGCUUGGGGCUAUUGUUACUGGGCUGGUGGACAUUGUAUGACCCCUGCUUGCCCAACUGCCAGGAUUCAGGCUCCAUUCACUAAUGUCCAAUGACCCAAGGUGGGUGCUGUGGAUCACAGAGCUGAAGGCACUGGAGACAGUAUCCAGGCCACCUGACUCAGGAGGGGAGCCCAAAAGAGCUGGGAGAGGCUGGUCUCUCCUGAAGGUCUGAAGUGCCCUGUCUUGAAUGGUCUGGUCACUGAUAUAUGUGGGCCAUGGGGACAGGUGGCUGCCAGUGGAAAACGAACCG
Non-coding RNA from Vicugna pacos (alpaca), 1058 nucleotides. Lineage: Eukaryota; Metazoa; Chordata; Mammalia; Artiodactyla; Camelidae. The record is from RefSeq and is a predicted model, not a curated record.